RNAcentral lists this ribosomal RNA (253 nucleotides) under uncultured bacterium. RNAcentral's name for it is "partial 16S ribosomal RNA". It matches the Rfam family "Bacterial small subunit ribosomal RNA", at positions 524 to 776 of the family's 1533-position model. The record is from RNAcentral.
UACGAAGGGGGCUAGCGUUGUUCGGAAUUACUGGGCGUAAAGCGCACGUAGGCGGAUAUUUAAGUCAGGGGUGAAAUCCCAGAGCCCAACUCUGGAACUGCCUUUGAUACUGGGUAUCUUGAGUAUGGAAGAGGUGAGUGGAAUUCCGAGUGUAGAGGUGAAAUUCGUAGAUAUUCGGAGGAACACCAGUGGCGAAGGCGGCUCACUGGUCCAUUACUGACGCUGAGGUGCGAAAGCGUGGGGAGCAAACAGG